RNAcentral lists this ribosomal RNA (403 nucleotides) under uncultured Acetobacterium sp. RNAcentral's name for it is "bacterial SSU rRNA". It matches the Rfam family "Bacterial small subunit ribosomal RNA", at positions 356 to 774 of the family's 1533-position model. Lineage: Bacteria; Bacillati; Bacillota; Clostridia; Eubacteriales; Eubacteriaceae. The record is from RNAcentral.
GGGGAAUAUUGCGCAAUGGGGGAAACCCUGACGCAGCAAUACCGCGUGAGUGAAGAAGGUUUUCGGAUCGUAAAGCUCUGUUAUUGGGGAAGAAAAAAAGACGGUACCCAAGAAGAAAGUCCCGGCUAACUACGUGCCAGCAGCCGCGGUAAUACGUAGGGGACAAGCGUUGUCCGGAUUUACUGGGCGUAAAGGGCACGCAGGCGGUUUUUUAAGUCAGAUGUGAAAGGUACCGGCUCAACCGGUGACAUGCAUUUGAAACUGAAAGACUUGAGUGCAGUAAAGGUGGGCGGAAUUCGUGGUGUAGCGGUGAAAUGCUUAGAUAUCACGAAGAACUCCAAUUGCGAAGGCAGCUCACUGGAGUGUAACUGACGCUGAUGCUCGAAAGUGUGGGUAUCAAACA